This is a non-coding RNA of Stegodyphus mimosarum, 46 nucleotides long. NCBI's taxonomy places the organism in Eukaryota, Metazoa, Arthropoda, Arachnida, Araneae, Eresidae. The record is from Rfam.
AAAAUGGUUCUUUUCAGAGCCACACAUUCCCUGCAAUGAGUUGUGU